AGCGACCCCAGGUCAGGCGAGACACUCCGCGU
RNAcentral lists this ribosomal RNA (32 nucleotides) under Garcinia talbotii. RNAcentral describes it as "partial 28S ribosomal RNA". The record is from RNAcentral. Lineage: Eukaryota; Viridiplantae; Streptophyta; Magnoliopsida; Malpighiales; Clusiaceae.